This 254-nucleotide ribosomal RNA is filed under the name uncultured bacterium. RNAcentral's name for it is "partial 16S ribosomal RNA". It matches the Rfam family "Bacterial small subunit ribosomal RNA", at positions 524 to 776 of the family's 1533-position model. The record is from RNAcentral.
UACGUAGGGGGCAAGCGUUGUCCGGAAUCAUUGGGCGUAAAGAGCGUGUAGGCGGCUUGGUAAGUCCGCUGUGAAAGUCCAGGGCUCAACCCUGGAAUGCCGGUGGAAACUGUCAAGCUUGAGUCCGGAAGAGGCGAGUGGAAUUCCUGGUGUAGCGGUGAAAUGCGCAGAUAGUCAGGAGGAACACCAAUGGCGAAGGCAGCUCGCUGGGACGGUACUGACGCUGAGACGCGAAAGCGUGGGGAGCAAACAGG